UUAUACAGAGAUAGAGAGGUUCACAUACUUUGUAGGAUCAAAUUCAGAUGAAAGUCAAAAUCUGGUUCAUGUGCUGCAGCUGUUCCCUCCCAUGUUUCUUCUACUCUGGCCUUUUUUUCUUUGAAUCUUAUGCCAUUCAGGAAAUUUUCCAUUAAAUAAAAAGAAGAGAUCAGACAGAAAAGAGGGAUGAAAUUCCGAAGAAUAUCCAUCCCCUUGCCCGAUCUUUCCUGUCGCUAAUUUCAGCUUCCAAAGUCAAUUCCUGUAUGAAUCGACAUUUUGG
RNAcentral lists this unclassified non-coding RNA (280 nucleotides) under Hevea brasiliensis (rubber tree). Lineage: Eukaryota; Viridiplantae; Streptophyta; Magnoliopsida; Malpighiales; Euphorbiaceae. The record is from RNAcentral.